Molecule: ribosomal RNA, 1327 nt
Filed under: Neocucurbitaria quercina
Lineage: Eukaryota; Fungi; Ascomycota; Dothideomycetes; Pleosporales; Cucurbitariaceae
Description: eukaryotic LSU rRNA
Rfam family: Eukaryotic large subunit ribosomal RNA
Source: RNAcentral
ACAGGGAUUGCCCUAGUAACGGCGAGUGAAGCGGCAUCAGCUCAAAUUUGAAAUCUGGCUCUUUCAGGGUCCGAGUUGUAAUUUGCAGAGGGCGCUUUGGCGUUGGCAGCGGUCCAAGUUCCUUGGAACAGGACGUCACAGAGGGUGAGAAUCCCGUACGUGGUCGCUGGCCUUCGCCGUGUAAAGCCCCUUCGACGAGUCGAGUUGUUUGGGAAUGCAGCUCUAAAUGGGAGGUAAAUUUCUUCUAAAGCUAAAUACUGGCCAGAGACCGAUAGCGCACAAGUAGAGUGAUCGAAAGAUGAAAAGCACUUUGGAAAGAGAGUCAAAUAGCACGUGAAAUUGUUGAAAGGGAAGCGCUUGCAGCCAGACUUGCCUGUAGUUGCUCAUCCGGGCUUUUGCCCGGUGCACUCUUCUGCGGGCAGGCCAGCAUCAGUCUGGGCGGUUGGAUAAAGGCCUCUGUCAUGUACCUUCUCUCGGGAAGGCCUUAUAGGGGAGGCGUAAUGCAACCAGCCUGGACUGAGGUCCGCGCAUCUGCUAGGAUGCUGGCGUAAUGGCUGUAAGCGGCCCGUCUUGAAACACGGACCAAGGAGUCUAACAUCUAUGCGAGUGUUUGGGUGUCAAGCCCGAGCGCGUAAUGAAAGUGAACGGAGGUGGGAUCCCUUAAGGGUGCACCAUCGACCGAUCCUGAUGUCUUCGGAUGGAUUUGAGUAAGAGCAUGGCUGUUGGGACCCGAAAGAUGGUGAACUAUGCUUGAAUAGGGUGAAGCCAGAGGAAACUCUGGUGGAGGCUCGCAGCGGUUCUGACGUGCAAAUCGAUCGUCAAAUUUGGGCAUAGGGGCGAAAGACUAAUCGAACUAUCUAGUAGCUGGUUCCUGCCGAAGUUUCCCUCAGGAUAGCAGUAACGUAUUCAGUUUUAUGAGGUAAAGCGAAUGAUUAGAGGCCUGGGGGUUGAAACAACCUUCACCUAUUCUCAAACUUUAAAUAUGUAAGAAGUCCUUGUUACUUAAUUGAACGUGGACACUUGAAUGUACCGUUACUAGUGGGCCAUUUUUGGUAAGCAGAACUGGCGAUGCGGGAUGAACCGAACGCGGGGUUAAGGUGCCAGAAUAUACGCUCAUCAGACACCACAAAAGGUGUUAGUUCAUCUAGACAGCAGGACGGUGGCCAUGGAAGUCGGAAUCCGCUAAGGAGUGUGUAACAACUCACCUGCCGAAUGAACUAGCCCUGAAAAUGGAUGGCGCUCAAGCGUAUUACCCAUACCCCGCCGCCGGGGCAAGAUUUAAGCCCCGGCGAGUAGGCAGGCGUGGAGGCUCGUGACGAAGCCUUGG